Molecule: ribosomal RNA, 253 nt
Filed under: uncultured bacterium
Lineage: Bacteria
Description: partial 16S ribosomal RNA
Rfam family: Bacterial small subunit ribosomal RNA
Source: RNAcentral
GACGAGGGGUGCGAGCGUUAUUCGGAAUUAUUGGGCGUAAAGGGUGUGUAGACGGCGUACUAAGUCUGUUGUUAAAUCUCCCGGCUUAACCGGGAAUCAGCAAUGGAUACUGAUAUGCUAGAGGGUGGAAGAGAGAAGUGGAAUUCUCGGAGUAGCGGUAAAAUGCGUAGAUCUCGAGAGGAACACCAAUGGCGAAGGCAGCUUCUUGGUCCAUUUCUGACGUUGAAACACGAAAGCGUGGGGAGCAAACAGG